Molecule: long non-coding RNA, 558 nt
Organism: Xenia sp. Carnegie-2017
Lineage: Eukaryota; Metazoa; Cnidaria; Anthozoa; Malacalcyonacea; Xeniidae
Exons: 3
Source: RefSeq, a predicted model, not a curated record
CAGGUGAUUCAGAUGACUCUAGCAGCUUCGUUGAGAACUUAUUAAACACGUUGAAGUUGGUUUUAGAUAGUAUUGGAAUCAGGGUGUGACAAGCCUGUUUAAUCGUUUUAAUGGUCGAGUAGAGAAGAAUUUCCUUCUUUGCCACAUGUUACAUUUUAUUGACAGUUUAGAUAGCCUUAUUUUCUGUUGUGGGCUAUUCAGGACGGAAGGAUAAAUGAAGUUCAGUAUCAAUGGCAUGUUCUUGAAAGCUAGGAGGGCAUAAUGACAACUAUAUCCUGUUAUGACGAAGUUAAGAUAGAGAUGGAACUAGAAGAGCUGUCAACUUUCCGUUGUAUCUACAUUAGUCGAGUACACGAACGUGCAUGUUUGGCAUGGGGGACAAUUUUGUAUGCUAAAAUCGCUCAUUGUCUUCUUUGUACGUUGUGAUCGUCUGUGGAAUGUAGAAAAGAAAGUCGAGUACAUGCAGUAUUUUAAAGAAAAGAGUGACUGCUCAUCAACUACAACGAAGGUGCGUCCGUUAGUCUUGUUGCGGCUUUCUUGUUUAGUCAAGAAGUUCGA